RNAcentral lists this long non-coding RNA (1981 nucleotides) under Oreochromis niloticus (Nile tilapia). RNAcentral's name for it is "lncRNA (ENSONIG00000035175.1)". Lineage: Eukaryota; Metazoa; Chordata; Actinopteri; Cichliformes; Cichlidae. The record is from RNAcentral.
AUGAAGCUAGGUAUAGCAUGUUAUGUUUGUUUUUUUCUUAAAUUUAUAUGUAAAAUACACAACAUGUUUACAAUGAAAAUUCUCUUUAAUGUUUUAGUGUUAUUACAGAUCAAAAUGACAGAUCAAAACAAAGAGCAGUGUGGUGUUGCCAAGAAUCUAAAGAGAGACACUGAAACUGCCGCUGAUAAUUUGAGCCUCGAGACAAACAAAGUCACAAACCCACAGACACAAAAAGAUAAAGGUGAACCCUCGUUUCACACAUUACACUCUACUUUCAUUGACAACAAUACUCUGCAGCCUCUAUAUGAUUCCGUAGAUUCAGGAGAAUGCAGCUUCAUGGUGCAAGCUACUCUGUCAGAUCCAGCUUUAACUCCUCAGGAAUGCCAAUAUUCUGCAAUUAAGUGGUGAAGUAUGGGAUUCUUUUGUUUUUUGGUUGUUGUUUCUUUUUUUACUCCAUUUCAUGACUGUAAACCCAAAGAAAGAUUUCCUUAUUUUUUUUCUAAAUGGAUGAAAAUGAUGUGAUUCUGUUGGCUUCAUUGUGUGCUGGCCUACAGCUUGCUAUGCAACGGUUCGCAGCAGAGUGUGAAGCGGUGGGAAUGAGAAUCAGCACCUCCAAAUCUGAGGCCAUGGUCCUCAGCCGGAAAAGGGUGGAGUACCCACUCUGGGUUAGGGAUGAGUUCUUGCCCCAAGUGAAGGAGUUUAAGUAUCUUGGGGUCUUGUUCACGAAUGACGAGAGAAGGGAGUGUGAGAUCAAAAGAAGGAUUGGUGCAGCGGCCGCAGUGAUGCGGCUGCCUCAAGUACAUUGAGUACUACUAAAUUUAACAGCUUAAGUGCAUUUCUUUCAGUUCAACAGUAUCUUCUUGGCCUCUGCUACACACUAUGCUGUUAAUAUUCAACAAAUAUACUGAUUAUAUGAAUAAAUAAAUAUUUUUAAAAAUAUAUUAAAUGCAAAGACAACAUGUACUUUUAAAUAUCUGAAUGACAUAUUUGAUGGAUUAUACUGUCAACUGCUGAAACUCUAAAGUGAAAUAAAACAAAAACCAAAGAACAGAUGGGUCAAAAGCAUAUUUGGAAGUAAUUUGUCACAUGAAUCAUGUCUUUGUCACCACCUAGUGGUAGGAAACAUAUUUGUUGAACACAGAUGAAUCUUGUACAACAAAACAUGACUUAGUUCUGGUUUAGCUCUGGUUAUUAAAAAUACUAAUCCUCUUUUCUCCCUCUUUACAGAUCAGUGAAAGGAGUGUCAGCUCAAUCAAGGAGAUUGUGCAACCCGUUUACUGUGCUGUUUCAUUUGCUAAGACUGGGUCACAUUUCUUAAAUAUUCAUCUCGGGGUACCUUUUCAGUCUGUGUAUAUUUGGAAUAAGACGAGUUGAGUUAAAUGUGAGUAAAAUUCAAAAACAUGCUUUACAACAUAUUUUUUUAGCUUGGUUGUGUUAUUGUCAUGGUCCCUGCGGAGGGAUAGAGUUUUGUGUGCGAGGGAUACCCUGUGAGGAGUGAGGGGAGCGGAGCGUGUGUGGAGAUCUUGUAUUUCCCUGACCCUGUGGACCCCUGGAACCCUGGACCCCUGGCCUUUCCCCCCCACAUAUAUAUAGUGCACCCGGUGUGGAUUAAUAAAGAACUGUUUAACUGUAUCUCUCAGUGUGCGCCUGAAUCCGUCCUGCCUGUCUUGACAGUUACAGUGAAAAUAUUGUGUUGUAAUGCAAACAAAUGAAAUUCAAAAAAAUGAUGCAAUAAUUAAUUAUCAUGUAGCCACAAGAUAAUUCGUUUGAUGUAAUGUAAAUAAAUGUGGAAUCGCUUAACAAAUUUUUUGUCAGGAUUUCUCAUUUGUCAUGAUUUAAUGUUGCAGUCUUUGCUUUGUUUCAUGAUUUCUACAAAAGAAAAUUAAAAUUAACUUAUAAAUUUCAUUUCCAGAUACAAAUUCUGUUUACAUAUCAUACCCCUUCUUUCUCUUGUGAAAAGAGAUGUAAUUAAAUGAUAAUG